CACUUGUAUCUAUAUUAUCAUAUUGUACAAACACUAGACAGUUCUUCGUCUGAACAAGAUUGUGCGCUUAAAAUACAUAGAAUAAAAUCUAAAGCAGGAAAUAAAUAUCAGAGUAAAGAAAAACACUCCAAAGGGACCACUGCCACUCUGAAUACUUUCUAUAACGUGCAAAAACGUGGGCUAGGCUAUUCACCACAGCGUACACACACAAUCAAAACCAACCCAGUGUUUGAAACUUGAUGUUUCCUGCGAUAAGGUUCAUAACUUUCAUUAUUUUCAUCCGCUCCACAGAUUUUUAUGGUCGGUCGUUUAUUUGGGGAUUCUUGGGUAACUUGAUCAUGCAAGAUAAUUUUGGGGCAUCUUGCAAACCGUAGCACUUGGCGAAGGAAGGCUAAAGUUUUCAGAAUUAACAAGGACAAUGACCUAAUUUGG
RNAcentral lists this long non-coding RNA (432 nucleotides) under Physcomitrium patens. RNAcentral's name for it is "long non-coding RNA (PPAT_LNC006652)". The record is from RNAcentral. Lineage: Eukaryota; Viridiplantae; Streptophyta; Bryopsida; Funariales; Funariaceae.